RNAcentral lists this unclassified non-coding RNA (1957 nucleotides) under Hevea brasiliensis (rubber tree). The record is from RNAcentral. Lineage: Eukaryota; Viridiplantae; Streptophyta; Magnoliopsida; Malpighiales; Euphorbiaceae.
GUAAUAACACAAUCAAACAAAAUUUUGUUAGAUGUACAUAUGUGUAUGGUAAUCUCCCAGAAAAAUAAAGGGCUUAAAGAUUGCCUAAACAAAUCCAUUUGGUCUCUCACCACUUCUGGCAGAUCUCUUCUGUAGAUCUGCGUCGUAAUGGGCAAAGGCAGCAUCCAAAGCCUGAAGCAUUGGCUGUACAAGAAGGGAAACUUGGUGUCUGACAUCUGAUUGCACAGAUUCCUUGAUCUCCUGCAACUUGGGAUAUAUCUGAGACAUUGCAUCCUUUAACCUAGUCACCUUGGCGUAGAAAUAUUUUGUCGUUAUCGGAUAAGAUGACCAGAAGUGCUUCAAUAAUUCCUGAAUUGAUGUCCAAUGAAGUAAUAGCUCAUUUUUAGUUGCACUAGGCAACUGAUCUAACACACUCUCAUGGGGAUUCUUUCCCAGAUGAUAUUUUGUACUUGAGAUAUUCUGACUUAGCAAGUUGAAAACCUUGAGAGCUACUUCAGGACUAAUUAUUGGUUCAAUCAAACCUUGAGAAUUUAUCUCAGAAAUGGAGUCCUUCAAGGAGCAAAAGGCUUCUUCUUUGCUCACACGAAAUUUCAACUGUCUUAUCCCUGUUUCAGCAUCUCCCAAAGCCUUUAUUGCAUUUGCUUGCUGAGAAUCAAAGUAGUCUCGGGGAUCCUUGAUACUUAGCAAUGCAACUGGUGGGUCUCGAGGUCCCUGAAGAUCCUCAAUCUCAGCUACUCGAGAAACUUUUUUUACGCGUUCUCUAUAUGCAUUCUCAUCAGACACUUCAGUAGCUUGUUCAGCCUGAUUUGUCCUGGUGAAAGCUUCAGCAACAGAUCUUGUGUCACCCAGCUCAACAUCUAUAACUCUUCCUUGAAGAACCACUGCUGCAUGCUGAUUGAGGUAUUGUGAGAAAGACCUUUUGAAUGGUUCAUACUGUGGUUCUAGAAUCUCCUUAGUUUCACCCUGAGGUAGUCCAUGAUCCGGGAGAUGCAUAUAAUCAUCACCUUCAUCUGCUUCCAUGUCCAGAGUUGGAUCCACUCUUCUGAUCUUCCUCCGAGCUUCAGAUACUAACAUAUCAUCUUGCUUCAAGAAAACUGCAAGCUCCUCAUCUUCAGCAGCCUCCGCAGCAGCUGCAACAAUGUUUUUUGUACUGUGGAGGUAUUCAGCUCUUGAAUAUUUAGUCCAGAAUUCUUUUUCUGACAUCUUGCCAGGAACAAACUUCAGAUAUGCUUGGCGGACAGCUGGUUUCUCCGCAAAAAUCUGAUGAAUAACCUCUGGAGUCAAGUUAAAUGUAACUCUGUUUGUCUGACCAUCAGAUAAUGGUUUUACACUCCACAUGUCAUUUUUUAAAGCUACUCGCUGUUUUGGCUUCUUAUUUUCACUCUGUUCCAGCAGCUUCUUCCUAGCGGCCCAAAAUUCAGUCUCUGAUAGAAUACCUGCAAUGACCAAUUCCCUGUGGAGAUUCUGCAACUCACUGUUCUCCUGCAGUAACUUAAUCCGACGCCCCAUUUCUGUUGCACUAAGUUGCUCAUCAUGUGGAACAGCAGGUUUUUCGGAAGUAGCUUUCCCUAUUUCCCCACAAGCUGCAAUUGCUGAGGCAACAAAGUCCCGACACUGGUCACGGUCAGGGAAGCUAUCAAAUUCGAAAAGAUAAUUUCCACCCUGAGCUUGUGUGAGAUUAAGUAGAGCCUGCUUACUUGAACACUCCUUGGAAGACUUGUGGCCUUUAAUCAACUUGAACUCCACAUUAAGCUUUGUAGUUAAUGUUGGGUCAUUCGGCAUAAAAUAAAACCGUUCCUUGGUCAAUUUCAAAACGCCAGGGACGCCAGGAACCUUGACUGAAGUUUUGUACUUGGCACGCUUAACCACCUUACCAUCGGCCAUACUGGGUGUUCAAAAAAUCGAAUAUUUUCACUAAUACAUCAACAAAAAAAAUUUUUAAAAAUGGGUAUUACGG